GCUCCUUCGAGAGCAGCAGCUCGGAGGCCAGGCCGUGUGGCAGCAGGGUUCGACCCUGCUGUGUCCGGCUGCAGCAAGCAAGCUGUCAGGAGGACAGCCAGUCUUCGACAUCGUGUUCUCCGGUCCCACAAAAGAUGGCCGGGUCGUGCUGACGGAGAGCGCCAGCGCAAGUGACAGGGGCAGCCAUGGGUACAGUCGGUGCGUAGGUCGCAUGAGUCAUGGUGGCGGUGGGCAAUGUACGACUGCGGAGCUCCAAGGUGACUUGAGGGAUUCCAGCAAUCUCCACCAAAUGUAAUGAUGUUUAAUUAAAGGACAGACGCGUUUACUUCACGCCCCUGCUGCAACAGCCCUGGUUGGCUGCAGUACCUCCAAAGAAAUUAAUAAAAGCGAAGUAACCACUGUGAAGCAGUACAACUGCUGUCACAGUAAUGAGCAACACUAGGCCAUUCUGAACAUUCUGCGACUAAACAGCCUGAGCAACA
Molecule: long non-coding RNA, 482 nt
Organism: Dermacentor andersoni
Lineage: Eukaryota; Metazoa; Arthropoda; Arachnida; Ixodida; Ixodidae
Source: RefSeq, a predicted model, not a curated record